Molecule: ribosomal RNA, 1121 nt
Filed under: uncultured bacterium
Lineage: Bacteria
Description: bacterial SSU rRNA
Rfam family: Bacterial small subunit ribosomal RNA
Source: RNAcentral
AACGGCCCACCAAAGCGACGAUCGAUAGCCGAUCUGAGAGGAUGACCGGCCACAUUGGGACUGAGACACGGCCCAAACUCCUACGGGAGGCAGCAGUGGGGAAUAUUGCACAAUGGGGGAAACCCUGAUGCAGCGACGCCGAAUGAGUGAAGAAGUAUUUCGGUAUGUAAAGCUCUAUCAGCAGGGAAGAAAAUGACGGUACCUGAGUAAGAAGCCCCGGCUAACUACGUGCCAGCAGCCGCGGUAAUACGUAGGGGGCAAGCGUUAUCCGGAUUUACUGGGUGUAAAGGGAGCGCAGACGGCUCUGCAAGUCUGAAGUGAAAGCCCGCGGCUUAACCGCGGGACUGCUUUGGAAACUGCAGGGCUUGAGUAUCGGAGGGGCAGGCGGAAUUCCUAGUGUAGCGGUGAAAUGCGUAGAUAUUAGGAAGAACACCGGUGGCGAAGGCGGCCUGCUGGACGAAAACUGACGUUGAGGCUCGAAGGCGUGGGGAGCAAACAGGAUUAGAUACCCUGGUAGUCCACGCGGUAAACGAUGAAUACUAGGUGUUGGUGCCCGAAGGGCAUCGGUGCCGUCGCAAACGCAAUAAGUAUUCCACCUGGGGAGUACGUUCGCAAGAAUGAAACUCAAAGGAAUUGACGGGGACCCGCACAAGCAGUGGAGCAUGUGGUUUAAUUCGAAGCAACGCGAAGAACCUUACCAAAUCUUGACAUCCUUCUGACCGCACCGUAAUGGGUGCUUUCCUUCGGGACAGGAGUGACAGGUGGUGCAUGGUUGUCGUCAGCUCGUGUCGUGAGAUGUUGGGUUAAGUCCCGCAACGAGCGCAACCCCUAUUGUUAGUUGCCAUCAUUCAGUUGGGCACUCUAGCGAGACUGCCGGUAAUAAACCGGAGGAAGGUGGGGAUGACGUCAAAUCAUCAUGCCCCUUAUGACCUGGGCUACACACGUGCUACAAUGGCUGGUACAACGAGUCGCAAGCCGGUGACGGCAAGCUAAUCUCUUAAAGCCAGUCUCAGUUCGGAUUGUAGGCUGCAACUCGCCUACAUGAAGUCGGAAUCGCUAGUAAUCGCGGAUCAGCACGCCGCGGUGAAUAAGUUCCCGGGCCUUGUACACACCGCCCGUCA